GUUUGAUCCUGGCUCAGAUUGAACGCUGGCGGCAUGCUUUACACAUGCAAGUCGGACGGCAGCACAGAGAAGCUUGCUUCUUGGGUGGCGAGUGGCGAACGGGUGAGUAACAUAUCGGAACGUACCGAGCAGUGGGGGAUAACUAAUCGAAAGAUUAGCUAAUACCGCAUAUAUUCUGAGGAGGAAAGCAGGGGACCAUUUGGCCUUGCGCUGUUUGAGCGGCCGAUAUCUGAUUAGCUGGUUGGUGGGGUAAAGGCCUACCAAGGCGACGAUCAGUAGCGGGUCUGAGAGGAUGAUCCGCCACACUGGGACUGAGACACGGCCCAGACUCCUACGGGAGGCAGCAGAAGGG
Molecule: ribosomal RNA, 352 nt
Filed under: uncultured Neisseria sp.
Lineage: Bacteria; Pseudomonadati; Pseudomonadota; Betaproteobacteria; Neisseriales; Neisseriaceae
Description: bacterial SSU rRNA
Rfam family: Bacterial small subunit ribosomal RNA
Source: RNAcentral